Molecule: non-coding RNA, 25 nt
Filed under: Mus musculus (house mouse)
Lineage: Eukaryota; Metazoa; Chordata; Mammalia; Rodentia; Muridae
Source: RNAcentral
GGACAUGCACCUGUGCGGGACGGGC